Molecule: ribosomal RNA, 506 nt
Filed under: uncultured bacterium
Lineage: Bacteria
Description: partial 16S ribosomal RNA
Rfam family: Bacterial small subunit ribosomal RNA
Source: RNAcentral
GAUUAACGCUGGCGGCAUGCCUUAUGCAUGCAAGUCGAGCGGCAGCGGAAAGUAGCUUGCUACUUUGCCGGCGAGCGGCGGACGGGUGAGUAAUGUCUGGGAAACUGCCUGAUGGAGGGGGAUAACUACUGGAAACGGUAGCUAAUACCGCAUAACGUCGCAAGACCAAAGAGGGGGACCUUCGGGCCUCUUGCCAUCAGAUGUGCCCAGAUGGGGUUAGCUAGUAGGUGGGGUAACGGCUCACCUAGGCGACGAUCCCUAGCUGGUCUGAGAGGAUGACCAGCCACACUGGAACUGAGACACGGUCCAGACUCCUACGGGAGGCAGCAGUGGGGAAUAUUGCACAAUGGGCGCAAGCCUGAUGCAGCCAUGCCGCGUGUAUGAAGAAGGCCUUCGGGUCGUAAAGUACUUUCAGCGGGGAGGAAGGUGUUGAGGUUAAUAACCUCAGCAAUUGACGUUACCCGCAGAAGAAGCACCGGCUAACUCCGUGCCAGCCGCCGCAGUAA